GAGAAAAUGAUGUGUAAAUGUCAAGCAGAGACACAUUUCAGGCUACGUGGAGAUGACAGAGGAAAAAUCUGAAUCUGUCUGGAUUGUGCAUAAACUCAUUUUUCCUUUUUAGGGAAGAAAAUCAUCAUUCAAGUAUUGUUCAUAGAAUUCUUUGCUCUUCAAUAUGAAUUUUUCCAUGUUUGGGGUACCUACACUUGCUUACAUUGAAAGGAAAUAUUACAUCUAUGUAACUUCAAAUUUUAAGUUUAGUUUUAACUUUGUCUUUCCCUAAGUGAAAAUUGAAGAAAAGAAAUAACUUAUAACUGUAGCUUAAAGCUGAAAGAAUCUUCUGUAAAUUCUGACCCAAUAACCUGCUUCAGAUUCCAACUUAAACUUCAUGUUGGGCCGUCGACACCACUUCAUUUUCUCUUGGUCCAAAAUGGCUUGGCAAGGGUCCUCCUUUUGGCUGAUCAUGUUUUCAGGCUUCGAGACCAGGUUCAAUUAUUGCUUGUCUGUGAAACCUUUCCCGCUUCUCCGAAAAUUCAGAGGAACUUCUUUAUCAGCUCUCCGGUAACGUUUGUAUUUCCAUCAUUACUCUCAUGUUUUUUUAGUCUCUGCAGAAUGUGGGUGUUUUCGCAUUAGUCUUAACAUAUCCACGGAGAAGAAGCCAUGUCUCCUCCAGGCUUGUAUCCAUGGUUUCUUUCUUAGUGCUUAUUCACAGUAGGUCCUGAAUGACUGAAAAGAAAUUUCUUUCUUAGAUGUUCAUGUCAUCCUGUUAAUUUAUAGACAAUAUCUGAUCAACGGAAUUAUCUUUCCCAUCAUGUGUUUAAGAUUCUGUGUGUAAUACAGAUGAUUUAUACCAUGCCCAGGGUUUUGUGCCAAGUAACCUUGGCGUAGGACACGUUAGUGACAGUGUGGAAUGAGAUCAAAAGUUGCUAGAAGAAAGCCUAUAAUUUUGCAGCAGAUUAGUCAUGUGAGCCCUAAGUACCCAAUGGGAUCUGGUGCGGGAAUGAUGGCCCUGGGACAGAAUCAUUGGGAACAAGAACAGUUUUACCAUUAUUGGGAAUGUAUAUGUGAUGGUGGGUGAGGACAGAGGCACAGAAAGUAGGAAGCCAUUUGAUGUGUGUGGCUAGGGGUCAGAACUGGUGUGGGAGUGGUAGUGCGAUUUGCUUGUGAAGGACGACUCAGCAGGACUCAGGCACUUGCUUGCAAAGUUCCCUCUAUUAUCUAGACAUUAGUUGCAGUGCGUUUUCAUUUUGUCUUAUGAAAACUUUGCUCCACCCAGAACUAGAACGAUCUGUUUAGUUUGUUCGUAGUUCAGUUACCGCUCUCAUGUCACAGUUUUCUUGCACUGUGCAAGGCUUUAUGUGCUUUUAGUUAAACUUGCAGGACUGUUGGUUUUGAAGGCUCCUUGAUAACCUGUGAUUGCUUUGCCUUUAUAAAAUAGACUCUAUAUUGAACUUUGGAGGCAUAUGUAAUAAUUUAGAUAAGGGCCAAGUUGGAAACUCAAGAGGGUUGAAUCAAACCCAAGUUUUGGUAUAGCAGUUUGCUCUGUUGAUUCUGCUCCCCUUUUUUGGCCCCUAAUACGGUUACUUUUUUUACAUAAAAAAUAUCACAUGUUCGCAUUCAAGUACUACGAAGAAGAAGCAAUAACACAGCAGUUGCCCAGCCUUUUACAAAUGCUGUCCUGAAUCAGUGGUUAGCUUGCCGUAGCCUAAUCGAAAUGCCUCCAAGGAACAAACAAUGCAAACAAAACAGAACUAACUCUAUUUUUCUUGAAAAAAAUCAUUUCCAAGUCUUGGUUUUCACUGCCAGAGCCUUUUACUUAGCUCUUAUCUGGGUUUACCGUGUUCUGACCAUUUUUCUCUCGUCUCCAGCUCACUGAAUGCCUCUCUUGGCUCCUGUUCAGACGGGCACAGUGAAGGACAGUUUUUCUUCUAUUGUUUCAGUGCCUCUCUUUCCCUUUGUUCCUCAGCUGCUUUUUCUUUGAUUCCUGAAUCACCAACAAGCCACUAGUCCUCCCUGGUCACAUCUGGCUCCCUUUCCUCCUGUUAAAACAUUUAGUUAUAAUUUCAGAAAAAGGAGAAAAUCUGGGCAUUAAACACAGUCCCUCAGAUUUUUCAGCUUCUUCCUCCAAACUCAGAAGGAGUAUUUGCUUAUAGUUUUAUUUAUUAGGCAAAUAUUGAUUGAUUGCCUUCUCUGCACCAGAUCCAGUUCCAGACCCAAGACAGAGAGCAAUGGGCAAGAAUAAGUCCUUCUGCAAUGGGCAAGAAUAAUGGGUUUGAUGAGGACGUGGGUUUGAUCCCUGGCCUCGCUCAGUGGCCCGGGAUCUGGUGUUGCCGUGAGCUGUGGUGUAGGUCACAGACAUGGCUUGGAUCUGGCAUUGCUGUGGCUGUGGCGUAGGCCAGAAGCUGCAGCUCCAGUUCAACCCCUAGCCUGGGAACUUCCAUAUGCCACAGGUGCAGCCCUAAAAAGCAAAUUAAUAAUAGUAAUAUAAUAAAAUUUGAGAGAGUGAACAGAAUUAUGAAGAAAAUGAAAGAGGUCGUGUGAUGCAGAGACCCUGGGAAGGGAAGGGCUACUGUUGAGGGGUCAUCUGAGCAGACCUCUGGGCAGAGGUGCCCUUGCAGCUGAGACAGGAGUGAUGGAAAGGAGCCACUGCCACAGGCUGCAGGCCCAGCUUCCAGGCCAGAAGGGUAACAGCCGCAGAAGCUCUGGGUAGGAGCCAAGCAAAAGUAUUAGGGAGCAGAAGGGACGACAAACUGGAGCAUGGUCUUCUUAAAGAAAAUAACACUGAGUGAACGUUUACUAGGACAAUCAACAUUGAAAUAGAAGUGUGAUGGGACUGUAGGGGUCCCAGCAUGGCGAGCCAAGUGGUAGGUUAUUGUAGCCAUUUAGACAAAGUAUAAAGACGGCUUGGAUCGAAGCGGCAGUAGUUGAGGCGUGCAGUAGAAAUAGCAGGACUCGCUAACGGAUUAGAUGUGGAAGAGGGGAGAACGGGAAAAUCCAAGACGGAGGCAGUUUUUGACAAGAGGCCUAAAUGCGUACAAACACAACAGCCUGCUUGAUGGAAUAAAAGGCAGCUGAGACAAAAGUAAGGCUAUUAGCAGACCGUUUAUAGCUGAAUGUCUGCACAUCUGGCUCCAUCCCCUGGACAAACGCUUACAGGCAAGGAUGAAAAAUUCCUCUAUUAGAAUGUUAGACGGAGAGGGUGGAAGAGUGGUGGGAAUUCAAGAGACUCGUCUGAAAAUAGUAAAUUUAACUAACGGAGGCCUGACCGAUGUCAAAGACACCCGGAGACUGGCACAUGACGAGGCAUAGGUCUCGGCAAAGGUAGAAACACCCUGAGGAGAAGACACAUGUCAAUUGGUUUAGGACGUAUUUGAAAAGAUGAUGGAAUUUGUAAAACAGUUGGAGAAAGAGAGCAUAUAGUUGGAGGGAGUCACUGACUCAGAUUUUCAGUCGCAGUGACGGCAGAGUGGACACCGUGAGGAAAGGGAGGCGACGAGACUUGGGGGAGGCGAGAAAUCAACCCAGUGGGCACCGCUGGAAUUUUAGGUCUUGGGGGAUCCACAGGAGAUGUUUUUUGAUUCCUGAUGCAGAGGCUCAGAGUUUUAGGCUGAGGUUAUGUUUCUAAAGAUAAAGUAUCUGAAGUGAGGCUAGAUGACGGAAAAGGGGUAACACUAAAGACAAGACAAGUGUCUUCUAAUAAAAUGGGCAGUGACCAAAGCCAAAUGCGAGGCUCGGAGGGCAGGAGGAGCCAGAUGGGACGCAGAGAGGUAGGAGCCGAUCUCGAAGAGAUUUGGGCCAGUACAGCAUUCGAGGAGCUCCUGGGAUCGGGGUGGGAGAGUUUCUAGAACAUGGUAUUCUGUUUUCACAACAUCAGAGGCCACAGAAAAUUCGAGGGGGACAAAAUGUGACAAAAAAGCAAAUCUACCUAUUCACCUAAUAAGGAGAUUUCCACAAUAGAGGCAAGAAGGUCUAAAUAAAUUGUAUCACAGAGCCAGUGAGUGGAGUGCAGAGCAACUUUGACUUUGCAAAAUCAAUAUGAAUGUAGUUUCCCAGAUCACAGAUUCCCAAGCUUGGAAGCGUUGUGACCUUAAUAAAAUGGAGUCGUGCAAAGGCCUGCUUUUCCAUCUAAAUCCCUUUCCCCUUUCUUUCUGAGUCUGCACUUGCCCCGCGAGAAUAUACACCCAGUCCCCUUACAGCGAGGUGUGGCCGUGGGACUGGCCAGCCCGGUUUGCCCACUUCCAGCCUCUUACAUGAGACAGAAACGGACUUUUGUAUUAUCUGAAUGGUGGGCACUUUUUUGUUACGAAAGCUUGGCCUCUCCUCUCGUUUACGCAGCUCCAGUCAGGAGGGGCUGGUGGCUGUAUCCUGCCUCUCAUGAGAACACAGAGAAUUUCAACAGAUAUGAACAUUGCGAAGUCAAUCCCCAGUCAAGACCAGGAAUAUGCGUUUUCUAUACCUCUGUCCUUCCAAAUUCCUUGUCAUUUUUUACGUGCCGCAUACCAUUUCAUGCCUCCCCACCGUCGGGUAGAUUGCCCUCUCUUUGUCCAGUGGUCUUUCUCAUUCUCUGCCUGGCUUACUCCACUCGGUUCUGUGAGAUCCAGAUCACAGAACCUUCCCUACAUGGCUCCCCCCCCGCCCCAUCUAUAGAGAUGACUCUUGCACGUUGUCUCACUGCGGCACGUCCUCCUCCGCCACUGUGUGCUGUGCAGUGCUUAUCUGGUCACAUCAGGCUCCCGCACUAGGCUACGAACUCCUUGUUGAGUGGGCAACGUAAUUUAUUCAUCUUCAUUUUCCAGCCCUCAUCCCUUAGCAUUUCUGACACAUAGAAGCCUGUAGACUCAGUCUGAGGAAAGAAUUCUCAGGAGAAUAGAGAAAGAAAAAUGUUCUUUCCUUUGGGGUAAUUAUUGUUUCGCUACUAGGAAUUUUAGAUCCAGAAAGGAAAGAUCUCAGUGAAUAUGUACAAAUUACUAAUUCAGGGUUAUUCUCUGAAAUAGAACUUUUUGGUGCAUUUAAACAUGGUCUAACAAGAGCUGAAUCAUUAUCUACCGUGAUAAGACCUGUUGGAGAGAGUCUCUUUCAUCAUUAAAUGAAAUGUUGAAGAUGGUAGAUUGCACUCUCAUUUCUUGAUUCAAGUAGGACAGAGAAGUUAAUCAGUCUGAUCUUGUCACUGUUUUAUUUAUGCCCAGGCUUUUGAUCAGAAGCCAGACACUAAAUGCAUUAAACCUGCACACGCAGGCGCACACACACACAGACACACACCCUUCUUCCCAAACAUAUCUUCAUGAACUUUGUUUUAUACCCAGACUGUGUACAAUGUCAGUCUCAAACUGUAAUUCAAAGUACAAGGCUUUUCUUAAGAUGGAAAAAAAUAAUCGCCUAAAUGCUACAAUUUUGGUAACACUGAAAAAUCUGACACUUUCACAGAUCCUUCACAACCAGUCAGAUGGCAGAAAGUGACAGUCAGCUGUCCAUCUUUAACCAGAGGAAAGAGAGAGAAGGAAUGCUGAGGCGUGCAAAGGGGAGUGGAAGAAAUAGGCCGUAUUCAUGAAAAAAAAGAAAAAAAUGACAGUGUGGGUGACAACAGGAAAUCAUUUCUAUCAAGAAAUAUAAAUCACUGCUUACCAUCUUCAGCAUCAUCGGCCAGGCUCGUCGCAUCUCACUGUGCAGUUGGCCUUAAUAUUUUGAGGACGUGCAGGAGGAUCCGGGCCUCCUGCUGAGCUUACAGGGCAGCGCGGACCUCCUGAGAGCAAGACCACCCUGGCCUGGGCGCUGGUCCUGCUUUUCCUCCAGGACCUGAUGACCUUCGGGCGACUCACUCCAUCUCUCUGCACCUCUGUCUUCUGCAGUGCAAAAUGAAUGCAGUCCACCAGAUGGCCUUGAAGUCCCUCGAGUAGAAGACCUUUGAGUUUAUUUUUUCCACUGGACUCUACUCAUUUUCUUUUAAUCUGAAAUAUUCACCAAAGUCCUAUGGCUCCAUUCUACAUUAAAUAAUUUUACAUUAUAUAUCCAAGUAUUUUUAUUUUUAUUUUUUGGUCUUUUCUAGGGCCUCGCCCACGGCAUUUGGAGGUUUCCAGGCUAGGGGCCUAAUUGGAGCUGUAGCUGCCAGCCUAUGCCAGAGCCACAGCAACGCCGGAUCUGAGCCGUGUCUGCGACCUACACCACAGCUCAUGGCAAUGCUGGAUCCUUAACCCACUAAGCGAGGCCAGGCAUCGAACCCAUAACCUCAUGGUUCCUAGUCGGAUUCGUUAACCACUACACCACCAUGAGAACUCCUAUCCAAGUACUUUUCUAUUGUUAGUGGAAAAUAGAGUUUCACAGUGGGCCUUGUGCACUUUGAUCUCAAAUUUUCCCUUCUUCCUAAUGUUGCAGAAAGGGUUAGAUCCCCUUUCUAAGUCUCAGGAAAAGUGUGGUGGCGUCCAUGCAGGAAUGUUAUUAGCUGAGGAAGUAUUCAUAAGGUUUAAGCAAAAGACACUUCAAGUGUAAGAAUAACUGUUGGUCACCUUACAUCCCUGAGUUGUCAAGGACUUUUCUGUCUUUGCCUGGGAUGGCUCUGACUUGCAUUUCCAGCCCUCUUUUCUGCUUGGAGUGCAAGGUCCCAUUCCUAGUUCAAAGAUAACAUCUUUGCUAAAGAAGGGCUGCUCAUUGAUAUGCAGAUUGAAGAACCAGAAUGUCCUUUAGGAGUUUCAAGCUGUGGAAUCAACCACAGGCCUGCAGAAUAAUAGGGCCAUAGAGCCUUUUACAUUGUGAGACUUUGAUCUGCUUGUAACAGGUCACUAAGUUUUAUCCAGGAG
RNAcentral lists this long non-coding RNA (6779 nucleotides) under Sus scrofa (pig). RNAcentral describes it as "lncRNA (ENSSSCG00025043451.1)". The record is from RNAcentral. Lineage: Eukaryota; Metazoa; Chordata; Mammalia; Artiodactyla; Suidae.